RNAcentral lists this unclassified non-coding RNA (400 nucleotides) under uncultured fungus. RNAcentral describes it as "sequence contains ITS1". The stretch from base 1 to 105 matches the Rfam family "5.8S ribosomal RNA", at positions 50 to 154 of the family's 154-position model. The record is from RNAcentral. Lineage: Eukaryota; Fungi.
GAAUUGCGAAAAGUAAUGUGAAUUGCAGAAUUCCGUGAAUCAUCGAAUCUUUGAACGCAUAUUGCGCUCUCUGGCCCUCCAGAGAGCAUGCCUGUUUGAGCAUCAGUAAAACCUCACAUCCCACUCUGGGGCGUGGAGCUGAGCGCUCCGGUAGCUGGCUAUACCCUUGUGGUAUACAUGCCAUCGGUCGCUUGAAAUGAAGAGUGUGCUGUGCUUGUCACUGCUCUCGGCUAUGGCGUAUUAGUUCUCUUAGAGAUCCACCUGCGUCAGUGUAAACCUUGAGCCUCGCGAUGACUGACGGCCACGUUUCUAUAGAGUUGCUGUAAGGCGACCCUUAACCCACCAAGGUGCACUGCAGUAUGCAGUGCUUCUUGAUCUUGAUCUCAAAUCAGGCAAGGCU